UCUUUGUUAGUAUAUCGGUUAGUACACGCGCCUGUCAUAAAGUAUUGAGUUUAUUCCGGACGCGCGAAAGCUGGGUUCGACUCCCAGACAGAGAG
This is a non-coding RNA of Crucibulum laeve, 95 nucleotides long. The record is from the annotation of a GenBank genome assembly. Lineage: Eukaryota; Fungi; Basidiomycota; Agaricomycetes; Agaricales; Nidulariaceae.